GCGGUGUUUUAGUCUAUUCAGAGGAAUCUGUCCCGUUAUCGAUAGUCCCCGUUUUAUCUUACUUUAUUUUGUUUACAGUAUGUAUACCGCCGUUAUAAGUUUAUUUUAUUAGAAUUAUAAUUUACUUAAAAUAAUAUUUUAUUACAUUUCAGGUCAAGGUGCAGCUUAUAAUAAAGUGGAGGUGGAUUACAUUAUUUAUUGAAUAAACGGAUGUGUUUAUUUAAAAUUUCAUUGAAGGUGGAUUUGAUAGUAAUAUUUUUUAUAUUGAUUAUUUGAUUAUAGCUCUAAAACAAGCACACAUCG
This 303-nucleotide ribosomal RNA is filed under the name Medauroidea extradentata. RNAcentral's name for it is "partial 12S ribosomal RNA". Lineage: Eukaryota; Metazoa; Arthropoda; Insecta; Phasmatodea; Phasmatidae. The record is from RNAcentral.